AUUGAACGCUGGCGGCAUGCCUAACACAUGCAAGUCGAACGGCAGCGCGGGUAGCUUGCUACCUGGCGGCGAGUGGCGGACGGGUGAGUAAUAUGUAGGAAUCUACCUAGAGGAGCGGGAUAACUUGGGGAAACUCAAGCUAAUACCACAUAAUCCCCACGGGGGCAAGCAGGGGACAUUCGGGCCUUGCCCCUUAUGAUGGGCCUACAUCGGAUUAGCUUGUUGGUGUGGUAAAGGCCUACCAAGGCGACGAUCCGUAGCUGGUCUGAUAGGAUGAUCAGCCACACUGGAACUGAGACACGGUCCAGACUCCUACGGGAGGCAGCAGUGGGGAAUAUUGGACAAUGGGGGGAACCCUGAUCCAGCAAUGCCGCGUGUGUGAAGAAGGCCUUAGGGUUGUAAAGCACUUUCAGUGGAGAGGAAGUUGCGUGUGCUAAUAUCAUACGUAAUUGACGUUACCCACAGAAGAAGCACCGGCUAACUCUGUGCCAGCAGCCGCCGUAA
RNAcentral lists this ribosomal RNA (504 nucleotides) under uncultured bacterium. Its description in RNAcentral is "partial 16S ribosomal RNA". It matches the Rfam family "Bacterial small subunit ribosomal RNA", at positions 30 to 523 of the family's 1533-position model. The record is from RNAcentral.